Podarcis lilfordi (Lilford's wall lizard) is the source of this 80-nucleotide non-coding RNA. NCBI's taxonomy places the organism in Eukaryota, Metazoa, Chordata, Lepidosauria, Squamata, Lacertidae. The record is from the annotation of a GenBank genome assembly.
GCCCUCUAAAUGGAUAGCUCAGUUGGUACAGCCUGAGGCUCCUAAUCUCAGGGUUGUGGGUUUGAGUCCCACCCAGGGCA